UACGGGAGGCAGCAGUGGGGAAUAUUGCACAAUGGGCGAAAGCCUGAUGCAGCUAUGCCGCGUGUAUGAAGAAGGCCUUAGGGUUGUAAAGUACUUUCAUCGGGGAGGAAAAAACAAAACUAAUAAUUUUAUUUCUUGACGUUACCCGAAAAAGAAGCACCGGCUAACUCCGUGCCAGCAGCCGCGGUAAUACGGAGGGUGCUAGCGUUAAUCAGAAUUACUGGGCGUAAAGAGCACGUAGGUGGUUUUUUAAGUUCAGAUGUGAAAUCCCUGGGCUUAACCUGGAACUGCAUUUUGAAACUGAAAUACUAGAGUAUCGUAGAGGGAGGUAGAAUUCUAGGUGUAGCGGUGAAAUGCGUAGAUAUCUGGAGGAAUACCUGUGGCGAAAGCGGCCUCCUAAACGAAUACUGACACUGAGGUGCGAAAGCGUGGGGAGCAAACAGGGAUUAGAUACCCGU
Molecule: ribosomal RNA, 458 nt
Filed under: uncultured bacterium
Lineage: Bacteria
Description: bacterial SSU rRNA
Rfam family: Bacterial small subunit ribosomal RNA
Source: RNAcentral